GACGAACGCUGGCGGCGUGCUUAACACAUGCAAGUCGAACGGUAAGGCCCUUCGGGGUACACGAGUGGCGAACGGGUGAGUAACACGUGGGUGAUCUGCCCUGCACUUCGGGAUAAGCCUGGGAAACUGGGUCUAAUACCGGAUAGGACCCUGGGAUGCAUGUCCUGGGGUGGAAAGCUUUUGCGGUGUGGGAUGGGCCCGCGGCCUAUCAGCUUGUUGGUGGGGUGUUGGCCUACCAAGGCGACGACGGGUAGCCGGCCUGAGAGGGUGACCGGCCACACUGGGACUGAGAUACGGCCCAGACUCGUACGGGAGGCAGCAGUGGGGAAUAUUGCACAAUGGGCGCAAGCCUGAUGCAGCGACGCCGCGUGCGGGAUGACGGCCUUCGGGUUGUAAACCUCUUUCAGCACCGACGAAGCGCAAGUGACGGUAGGUGCAGAAGAAGGACCGGCCAACUACGUGCCAGCCGCCGCAGUAA
RNAcentral lists this ribosomal RNA (478 nucleotides) under uncultured bacterium. RNAcentral's name for it is "partial 16S ribosomal RNA". It matches the Rfam family "Bacterial small subunit ribosomal RNA", at positions 28 to 523 of the family's 1533-position model. The record is from RNAcentral.